This 606-nucleotide ribosomal RNA is filed under the name Fusarium sp. 2 MJ-2014. RNAcentral's name for it is "eukaryotic LSU rRNA". The stretch from base 185 to 338 matches the Rfam family "5.8S ribosomal RNA". The record is from RNAcentral. Lineage: Eukaryota; Fungi; Ascomycota; Sordariomycetes; Hypocreales; Nectriaceae.
GCUAACCCGGCGGGCGAGCGGAGAGGAGGACAGUCGUAACAAGGCAACUCCCAAACCCCGGUGAACAUACCUAUACGUUGCCUCGGCGGAUCAGCCCGCGCCCCGUAAAACGGGACGGCCCGCCCGAGGACCCCUAAACUCUGUUUUUAGUGGAACUUCUGAGUAAAACAAACAAAUAAAUCAAAACUUUCAACAACGGAUCUCUUGGUUCUGGCAUCGAUGAAGAACGCAGCAAAAUGCGAUAAGUAAUGUGAAUUGCAGAAUUCAGUGAAUCAUCGAAUCUUUGAACGCACAUUGCGCCCGCCAGUAUUCUGGCGGGCAUGCCUGUUCGAGCGUCAUUUCAACCCUCAAGCUCAGCUUGGUGUUGGGACUCGCGGUAACCCGCGUUCCCCAAAUCGAUUGGCGGUCACGUCGAGCUUCCAUAGCGUAGUAAUCAUACACCUCGUUACUGGUAAUCGUCGCGGCCACGCCGUAAAACGCCGACUUCUGAAUGUUGACCUCGGAUCAGGUAGGAAUACCCGCUGAACUUAAGCAUAUCAAUAAGCGGAGGACAUGCUCCGCUUAUUGAUAUGCCCUGUUACGACUUUUACUUCCACACCCCCCUUA